AUUGAACGCUGGCGGCAUGCCUUACACAUGCAAGUCGAACGGCAGCACGGGAGCAAUCCUGGUGGCGAGUGGCGAACGGGUGAGUAAUACAUCGGAACGUGUCCAGUUGUGGGGGAUAGCCCGGCGAAAGACCGGAUUAAUACCGCAUACGACCUACGGGUGAAAGCGGGGGAGUCGCAAGACCUCGCGCUAUUGGAGCGGCCGAUGUCAGAUUAGCUUGUUGGUGGGGAAAAGCCUACCAAGGCGACGAUCUGUAGCUGGUCUGAGAGGACGGACCAGCCACACUGGGACUGAGACACGGCCCAGACUCCUACGGGAGGCAGCAGUGGGGAAUUUUGGACAAUGGGCGCAAGCCUGAUCCAGCCAUGCCGCGUGCGGGAAGAAGGCCU
Molecule: ribosomal RNA, 389 nt
Filed under: uncultured bacterium
Lineage: Bacteria
Description: bacterial SSU rRNA
Rfam family: Bacterial small subunit ribosomal RNA
Source: RNAcentral